CCGUUCUGUCAUCGGUGUCCCUGGAGAGAGAGGAAUGGCUGGACCCAGAGGAGUCGUUGGGGGCAUCGGACCAGUGGGCAACAUGGGGGUUCAGGGAGUUAAAGGCUUCCAGGGAGGUAAGGGAGCUAUGGGAGACCCAGGACUUCCAGGUCCGACCGGUAUCCGUGGAGGAUUUGGUGAGAGGGUGAGUUUUGUUGACAAAGCACCAAAUGACCAAUUGCAGUUACCGCACCCAAUCACACCAAGCCCAACUGCAACAGUACCACAGUGAAUAUUCUGCAGUCAGGAGAUUACCAACACUCUUUCGCCCAUCUUCCAAACAGCCAGAUGGCAACCAUAAACCAAGUGAGCUAAUCAUAUCGUGGAUAUGGAAAUUGAGUGAAUAUAAUCAAUCACAGCACACAGACCCUUUUGAAAUGGUUGUGGUCUCCCUUCAGACCAAUAAAGUGCACAUACCAAUAAC
This is a long non-coding RNA of Gadus morhua (Atlantic cod), 463 nucleotides long. RefSeq lists it as uncharacterized. The transcript is spliced from 3 exons. NCBI's taxonomy places the organism in Eukaryota, Metazoa, Chordata, Actinopteri, Gadiformes, Gadidae. The record is from RefSeq and is a predicted model, not a curated record.